CAGCCUUAGGUCGACCCGCUGAAUUUAAGCAUAUCACUAAGCGGAGGAAAAGAAACUAACCAGGAUUCCCCUAGUAACGGCGAGUGAAGAGGGAAAAGCCCAUCACCGAAGCCUGCAGCAGUUUUGUUGUUAGGCAAUGUGGUGUUAGGGUCGACUGGUUGGGUUGCCACUCCACUCGAAGUCCAGCAUUGAGUAUGGUAUCCUGGAUUUGGCCCAGAGAGGGUGAAAGGCCCGUGCGAGUGGAUGUUACAGACAUGUAAGGCAGCUCAUCAGGUCGACCUUCGAGUCGGGUUGUUUGAGAAUGCAGCCCUAAGCGGGUGGUAGACUCCAUCCAAGGCUAAAUACGUACACGAGUCCGAUAGUAAACAAGUACCGUGAGGGAAAGUUGAAAAGUACUCUGAAGAGAGAGUAAAUAGCACGUGAAGCCGUAUAGAGGUAAACGGGUGGCGUCAAGCUGCAAGCCUUGAGGAUUCAAUUGGCCUUUGUUGUGCGUUGUUUUGUGCGUGUAUCAGUCAGUGAUAGCUUGGGUAGUCCACUGGAAACGGUGGGCCUGGCCGCAAGGUCGGGAUGUACGAUUGGCACUGGUUCGCCAGUACGCUACCCGUCUGUCGGACUGGAUGGCCAAUGCAUUUCCUCUAUGGUGAACACCACGACCGGUGGUACUGCCAGUCUGGCUUGGUCAAGUUGUAGUCAGUUAGGCCUCGUGUCGGCUGGCUGCAAUCACACGCAAACUCGGUGGACGGCGAGUUGACCCUCGGGUUGAUUCGUGUUAUCGGCCACCGGUUGUGAACGGGCGUGCUCGUCGAUGGAUGCAGUCCUCGGCGGGUGGCCUGGUGGACCUUGCUGGUAUGUAUAACUGUGCAGGGCACCGGAGUUGUCGGUCUCAAUUUGCCAUUUGAUAUGCACACUGCAUGUGUGGUUGGGGCGUCAUCGCAGCCUGUCGGUGGUUAGGCGUGGCCGUCGUGUUGCCUGCGAAAAGUAGGCCCGGCGGUGGUCUGGCCCCGGUCGGUGUUGUUGGUGGCGUUCCCGUGUGCCAUUUGGUGUGGACCUGAUAGUCUGUGGUGUAGUGGUAGACCAGCCACCCGACCCGUCUUGAAACACGGACCAAGGAGUUUAACAUGCACGCGAGUCAAUGGGCACUUACGAAACCCAACGGCGCAAUGAAAGUGAASCCUCGGCUUGUUCCCGGGGUGAGGUGAGAUCCUGCUGUUACUCGCAUCUGCACUUUUGUGUGUCGCGCGUUGGACACAAAGCGCAAAGAGCAGUAGGCGCAUCACCGGCCCGUCCCAUGAUGUGGUCAUUGGUAGGUUGUGUGUCGUGGCUUCGGUCGCGGCCGCAGCUCCAGUGCGGCAUCGGGGCGGAGCUUGAGCGUGCAUGUUGAGACCCGAAAGAUGGUGAACU
This 1401-nucleotide ribosomal RNA is filed under the name Oncomegas celatus. Its description in RNAcentral is "partial 28S ribosomal RNA". It matches the Rfam family "Eukaryotic large subunit ribosomal RNA", at positions 1 to 832 of the family's 3401-position model. The record is from RNAcentral. Lineage: Eukaryota; Metazoa; Platyhelminthes; Cestoda; Trypanorhyncha; Eutetrarhynchidae.